GACAGGAGUCUAACAUGUGCGCGAGUCUUCGGGUCGUCCGAAAACUCGACGAAACCUGAAAGGCGCAAUGAAAGUGAAGGUCGACCGUCGGCCCUCGUCGACUUCGGUCGGCGCGGGGCCGCGGUGCAGGCCGAGGCGGGAUCCGAAGCUAAAACGCUGAUCGGAUAAAACCGUAAGCAAAAAAAUCUUGACCAAAGCCGGGUCGGGGAGAGCCGAUCUGGGGUCGGGAGGAGAUUGGGGAGGACUCGUCCUCUCCGUCUUCUUCUGUCUCCCGGAGAAGCCCGUCUUCCGUUCUUCCCCCUUCUGCCCCCUUCGAGCGACCUUUCGGGGAAGCGAGGAGGAGGUGUCGCGGGGGGUCGGGGACGCGAUUAAAGAAACCCCGCCAUCCCGGUCGGCGCACCGCCGGCCCGUCUCUACCGCACCGUCGGUGAGGCGGAGCAAGAGCGUACACGUUGGGACCCGAAAGAUGGUGAACUAUGCUCGGGCAGGACGAAGCCAGAGGAAACUCUGGUGGAGGUCCGUAGCGAUUCUGACGUGCAAAUCGAUCGUCGGACCUGAGUAUAGGGGCGAAAGACUAAUCGAACCGUCUAGUAGCUGGUUCCCUCCGAAGUUUCCCUCAGGAUAGCUGGCGCUCGGUGAGGAACGCAGUCUCAUCCGGUAAAGCGAAUGAUUAGAGGCCUUGGGGCCGAAACGACCUCAACCUAUUCUCAAACUUUCAAUGGGUGAGAAGUCCGGCAUGCUCGACUGAAGCCCGGACGGCGUCCGCCGAUUUAAAGAACGGACGCACGAAAAACAAAUGACGCGGCGGCUUUCGUUGCUCGUGCCCGGCCGGGGGUCAAACCUCGGACGGCGAGUACGGGUAUUCGAACCAAAAAAGCCGACCGUGAGAGAACGGAUGCGAGUGCCCAGUGGGCCAUUUUUGGUAAGCAGAACUGGCGCUGUGGGAUGAACCAAACGCCGGGUUACGGCGCCCGAUGCGGACGCUUAUCAGACCCCAUGAAAGGUGUUGGUUGCUAUAGACAGCAGGACGGUGGCCAUGGAAGUCGGAANNNNNNNNNNNNNNNNNNNNNNNNNNNUCGGCCCUAAGGAAUAGGGGAAACCCGUUCCGAAGCGUGGGGAAUGUAGACAUGUGUGUGUGCAGUCGUCGUUGUUGUUGUUGUGUGAGAGAGAAAGAGAAGAAGAAGCGUCGUCGKGGMGGASAACCUYUUGCACGAGGAGAACCGWASACACGCGCGCUCAAACACACAACACAACACGAAACGAAAACAAAACAAAAAAACAAAAAAAAACAUUGCCCCCGAAUGACCGAAAGGGAAUCGGGUUAAUAUUCCCGAACCCGGACGCGGAGAUCGGCCUCUCGGGGCCCAUUGCGGUAACGCAAACGAACUCGGAGAAGUCGGCGGGAGUCCCGGGAAGAGUUGUCUUUUCUUUGUAAGGGACGGACUCCCUGGAAUCGGCUCGCCCGGAGAGAGGGAUGUUGUUCCCGUAAAGCACCGCGGCUCUUGCGGUGUCCGGAGCACUCCCGCCGGCCCUUGAAAAUCCGAGGGAGAGAAAAUGAUUUUCGCGCCGGACCGUACCCAUAUCCGCAGCAGGUCUCCAAGGU
RNAcentral lists this ribosomal RNA (1603 nucleotides) under Newportia longitarsis stechowi. RNAcentral describes it as "partial 28S ribosomal RNA". It matches the Rfam family "Eukaryotic large subunit ribosomal RNA", at positions 667 to 1874 of the family's 3401-position model. Lineage: Eukaryota; Metazoa; Arthropoda; Chilopoda; Scolopendromorpha; Scolopocryptopidae. The record is from RNAcentral.